GUAGGUGGCAAGCGUUGUCCGGAUUUACUGGGCGUAAAGCGCGCGCAGGCGGCUCGCUAAGUCUGGGGUGAAAUCUCCCGGCUCAACCGGGAGGAGUCUCUGGAUACUGACGGGCUUGAGGAGAGCAGAGGAGAGUGGAAUUCCAGGUGUAGCGGUGAUAUGCGUAGAUAUCUGGAGGAACACCAGUGGCGAAGGCGGCUCUCUGGGCUCUUCCUGACGCUGAGGCGCGAAAGCGUGGGGAGCGAACCGGAUUAGAUACCCGGGUAGUCCACGCCCGUAAACGUUGGGCACUAGGUGUGGGGGGUAUUGACCCCCCCCCUUCCGUGCCGCAGCUAACGCGAUAAGUGCCCCCGCCUGGGAGUACGGCCGCAAGGCUA
This 377-nucleotide ribosomal RNA is filed under the name uncultured organism. Its description in RNAcentral is "partial 16S ribosomal RNA". It matches the Rfam family "Bacterial small subunit ribosomal RNA", at positions 527 to 896 of the family's 1533-position model. The record is from RNAcentral.